This is a long non-coding RNA of Carcharodon carcharias (great white shark), 490 nucleotides long. RefSeq lists it as uncharacterized. The transcript has 4 exons. Lineage: Eukaryota; Metazoa; Chordata; Chondrichthyes; Lamniformes; Lamnidae. The record is from RefSeq and is a predicted model, not a curated record.
CGGCGCCGUACGUGGCCAAUGACCCGCUGGGUGAUACUCAACUGGAAGGAAUAUUGCUACAAUUUAUCAUAUUAUUUCACUUGAUAGCCCCAUGCGAAAGUGCAGUUACCUAUUACAUUGUAAUCAUUGCUAAACGGGAGCCUGUUAGUAGGCCUGCUGAUGUCCCGCUAACAUCCCAGCAUUUGUGCAAACCAGAAUAAUGAGAAAUGUUGGUCAGGACCCUGGGAAUGCUGUAUGCUAUCAUUUGAAUUGUUCCAUGAAACCUUCAUCAUCCAUCUAUACUGUUUGCAUGGAGCUUUGAGGCUGAAGGGGUAGACUUUCCAACAUUGCAGCAUUCUGAUUAUUGCACUAGAGUGUAAGACCUGAUUUUAGUGCCUGGAUCCUGGAUGGGCGCUUGAUCCCACGAGCUUCUGAUUGAGUAUGAGCAGCAACUGGGGCAGAAUUUUCCAUUCAGCGUGGGGGCGUUAAACGACACUCGAUGAUCACAAAG